GUGGGGAAUUUUGGACAAUGGGCGAAAGCCUGAUCCAGCCAUGCCGCGUGCAGGAUGAAGGCCUUCGGGUUGUAAACUGCUUUUGUACGGAACGAAAAGACUCCUUCUAAUAAAGGGGGUCCAUGACGGUACCGUAAGAAUAAGCACCGGCUAACUACGUGCCAGCAGCCGCGGUAAUACGUAGGGUGCAAGCGUUAAUCGGAAUUACUGGGCGUAAAGCGUGCACAGGCGGUUAUAUAAGACAGAUGUGAAAUCCCCGGGCUCAACCUGGGAACUGCAUUUGUGACUGUAUAGCUAGAGUACGGUAGAGGGGGAUGGAAUUCCGCGUGUAGCAGUGAAAUGCGUAGAUAUGCGGAGGAACACCGAUGGCGAAGGCAAUCCCCUGGACCUGUACUGACGCUCAUGCACGAAAGCGUGGGGAGCAAACAGGAUUAGAAACCCUUGUAGUCC
Molecule: ribosomal RNA, 450 nt
Filed under: uncultured bacterium
Lineage: Bacteria
Description: partial 16S ribosomal RNA
Rfam family: Bacterial small subunit ribosomal RNA
Source: RNAcentral